RNAcentral lists this ribosomal RNA (497 nucleotides) under uncultured bacterium. Its description in RNAcentral is "partial 16S ribosomal RNA". It matches the Rfam family "Bacterial small subunit ribosomal RNA", at positions 28 to 507 of the family's 1533-position model. The record is from RNAcentral.
GAUGAACGCUGGCGGCGUGCCUAAUACAUGCAAGUCGAGCGAACAGACGAGGAGCUUGCUCCUCUGACGUUAGCGGCGGACGGGUGAGUAACACGUGGAUAACCUACCUAUAAGACUGGGAUAACUUCGGGAAACCGGAGCUAAUACCGGAUAAUAUAUUGAACCGCAUGGUUCAAUAGUUAAAUACGGUUUUUCUGUCACUUAUAGAUUGAUCCGCGCCGCAUUAGCUAGUUGGUAAGGUAACGGCUUACCAAGGCAACGAUGCGUAGACGGCCUGAGAGGGAGAUCGCCCACCUUGGAACUGAGACACGGCCCCGACUCCUACGGGAGGACGCAGUACGGACUCCUCCGCAAUGGGGGAAAGCCUGACGGAGCAACGCCGGGUGAGUCCUGAAGGUCUUCGGCCCGUAAAACUAUGUUAUUCGGGAAGAACAAAUGUGUAAGUACCUAUGCACGUAUUGACGGUACCUAAUCAGAAAGCCCCGGCUAACUCCGUG